UACGAAGGGGGCUAGCGUUGUUCGGAAUUACUGGGCGUAAAGGGCGCGUAGGCGGUACUUCAAGUCAGGCGUGAAAGCCCCGGGCUCAACCUGGGAACCGCGCUUGAGACUGGAGAACUAGAGUUCGGGAGAGGAUGGUGGAAUUCCCAGUGUAGAGGUGAAAUUCGUAGAUAUUGGGAAGAACACCGGUGGCGAAGGCGGCGACCUGGUCCGAUACUGACGCUGAGGCGCGAAAGCGUGGGGAGCAAACAGG
RNAcentral lists this ribosomal RNA (253 nucleotides) under uncultured bacterium. RNAcentral describes it as "partial 16S ribosomal RNA". It matches the Rfam family "Bacterial small subunit ribosomal RNA", at positions 524 to 776 of the family's 1533-position model. The record is from RNAcentral.